GACGAACGCUGGCGGCGUGCCUAAUACAUGCAAGUCGAGCGGACUUUCAAGAAGCUUGCUUUUUGAAAGUUAGCGGCGGACGGGUGAGUAACACGUGGGCAACCUGCCUGUAAGACGGGGAUAACUCCGGGAAACCGGGGCUAAUACCGGAUAAUAUCUUUCUUCGCAUGAAGGAAGGUUGAAAGGCGGCGCAAGCUGCCGCUUGCAGAUGGGCCCGCGGCGCAUUAGCUAGUUGGUGAGGUAACGGCUCACCAAGGCGACGAGGCGUAGCCGACCUGAGAGGGUGAUCGGCACCACUGGGACUGAGACACGGCCCAGACUCCUACGGGAGGCAGCAGUAGGGAAUCUUCCGCAAUGGACGAAAGUCUGACGGAGCAACGCCGCGUGAGCGAAGAAGGUCUUCGGAUCGUAAAGCUCUGUUGUCAGGGAAGAACAAGUACCGUUCGAAUAGGGCGGUACCUUGACGGUACCUGACCAGAAAGCCACGGCUAACUACGUGCCAGCAGCCGCAGUAA
RNAcentral lists this ribosomal RNA (515 nucleotides) under uncultured bacterium. RNAcentral's name for it is "partial 16S ribosomal RNA". It matches the Rfam family "Bacterial small subunit ribosomal RNA", at positions 28 to 523 of the family's 1533-position model. The record is from RNAcentral.